CCGGGGGAUUGGCCACCCUCCCAACCCACUUUGCAGCCCAGCGCAGCUGGCGGGGUCUCUGGGGUAGUGAACCUCUCUGUCUCGCGGAUUUGGGCGGGCGCCGCCGCGGCUGCUUUGUCGCGGGUUCGGGGCCGGCCCGCCUGCGGCUGCGGGAGCCCAGCCCGGCCCGACCCGGGGACCCGGGAGUCUGUCGCCGACGUGUGCGGGCUGCAGCGGCCUGAGCUCUACGCGCAGUGGAUGUAGAAAAGGGAUCGGUAUCCACAAACAAGAGGACAAAAUCACUCUACUUGGCAUUAGGAAACUUCUACAGAAGCUCAAGGUCUGUCAUUUACUCCGGUGAAGCUUUUGGAGGGAAAUUUUCCUCUUCGCAGUCAAAAAUGACACUGGACCCUUCUAGGCUGACAGAGGCACAUGGUAAGUGGAGAUGUGUGGAUGCCAACAUAACCAAAUACAGAAGUCAUGACGGACACCAGAUGCCAGCCUGGUGGGUCACACGUUCCACUCUGACCUUGUCCAUGGACGACAACUCUGGUGUUUAUAUCUUAGGUGGUAAUAAGGUAUAUAAGGCAUUCCCACCUAAAUGGUCAGGGUGAUGUGCACGUGGCUACCUGGCAGCUGCCCUCACCAGGUGUCCCACUUUAAAUGCUAACCAAAUCACAAACGCAGGCUCCUUAAUAAACCAAGUAGCACCACAUAGAUGCACCCAACCAGACAUCAUGGACAGUCCACCCAUUUAUCACAACACCAAUUCAAUAAGGACCCUUUCUCCGGGUUUGGGAAUGUCGCAUCUAGAAGAAACAAUUCUAAACAUUUCCAAAGUGACAGAACAAGGAUUCGCUGCCGCAGUGUAGACCUUGGAAACCCGCCAAUCGAGAGUUAGCAGUUUACUCUCUGCACUCCAGAAUCACCAUCUGGAUUUAUCUGCUGCUCAACAAGGAAGAACAUGUACAAUCAUGGGCAAACAAUGCUGCCUCUAUACAACUCAGAAGAAGUCCUGUUUCAUCUGAACCGUGUGAAGGGACACGUCAACAAUCUACAUCGAACGAAUGAAUUACGGUUUAAUUGGACUGACCUAUUCUCAGGCGUGAGAGACCGGUUCAGUGGCCCAUGGGGCCAUGUGUUUGGAUUUGUUCUUCCCUGCUUAUUCGUCUUUGUCCUGAUCUGUGUUUCCGUUCACAGAUCUCUUACCUCCCGAGUUCCAGCCCGAGUCUCCUCCUCACAGCAGUACACUGGGCUGCUAGCUCGUGAAACUUCAUGUCAGGGUUCAAACAAGGAACUCGGGGGGCUAGCCCCACCAGGAGGGCAUAAAGACCGCUUUAAACUGAGAACAUCUGAACAAACAGCAGCUGCGGAAAGAGGCCUACUUUAAACUUCGCUUUGAUGACUAAAGCAGGCCUUUCUGAGAAUUCAGCUGUCAUAAACCCCUCUCCUAGGGAGUCUUUUGGAAGGGAGGAGCCUGAUUUGGUAUCAGGACAUCCCGAAGAACUGUGUUAAGUCCUAUCUGCUCCUUCCAUACUUUCCCACUGAAGCCUUAAUACCCCAUUCCCUAUCCCAUUAAGCUGGUAGAUAAAACCUCAUCCCUGGCUGUUCUGACAGCCGCCCUUUAUAGCCUACUCCCACAUACAUAUAUAAUAAACUUUCCUCCUAUUAAUCUGUUCAUUCACAGGCCCCCAGCCACUUGAACCUGAGAUCCUGUAUGUUUAAUAACUGAAGUUAAGUUAUUAUAAGAAGACUCUCUUUACUUCCCUUCAGGCGAAAGCUAUAAACCACUGAAGCUGAGAGGGUUUGGUGUGCUCUCCUGAUCCGUGUGCAUUUAAUCUCCAGUCUGAAGGGGAAGUUUGUCUGGUGUGAGGUGUAGCCAUCUGAUCUCCCGUGGCCUGCAGCCGGGAGGAUUGUAGGGACAAGGUAACAUUUAUUGUAUUGAACACGUCAACUGUCCGAGCCCAUAGUGAGGUCCUUCCGUUUAUUAAAUCCUCCCCAUUUGGCAGGUGAAUAAACUCAAAGGGUAGACAACUUGCUAAAGAUUAUAUCAUUACUAAAAACAAGAACAAGACGCAGAACGGGGUGUAUGGUGUGCUCCCUUCCAUAAAGCAGAGGAAAUAAUGUGUGUAUGUCUACAUAUGUGUAGUUACUCAGUUUUGCAAAUAGACCACUCAGGAAGGGUAGAUAAGCCAGAAGCUACUGGAAGUGAUUAUGUUAAGGGGCAUGGGCAGUGAGAGUCCCACCCCCUUUUUUAAAAGUUGAAUAUAAACAAACUGGUGAACAUUUUAGCAAACCGACAACUUACAUAGAGAAAAUAGUACUUUCAA
Molecule: long non-coding RNA, 2309 nt
Organism: Mirounga angustirostris (Northern elephant seal)
Lineage: Eukaryota; Metazoa; Chordata; Mammalia; Carnivora; Phocidae
Exons: 4
Source: RefSeq, a predicted model, not a curated record